GAUGAACGCUGGCGGCGUGCCUAAUACAUGCAAGUCGAGCGAACAGACGAGGAGCUUGCUCCUCUGACGUUAGCGGCGGACGGGUGAGUAACACGUGGAUAACCUACCUAUAAGACUGGGAUAACUUCGGGAAACCGGAGCUAAUACCGGAUAAUAUAUUGAACCGCAUGGUUCAAUAGUGAAAGACGGUUUUGCUGUCACUUAUAGAUGGAUCCGCGCCGCAUUAGCUAGUUGGUAAGGUAACGGCUUACCAAGGCAACGAUGCGUAGCCGACCUGAGAGGGGGAGCGGACACACGGGAACGGAGAAACGGCCCAGAACCCUACGGGGGGCAGCAGGAGGGAAUCUGCGGAAAGGGGCGAAAGCCUGAGGGAGAAACGCCGGGGGAGUGAGGAAGGUUUUCGGAUCGUAAAACUCUGUUAUUAGGGAAAAAAAAAUGGGUAAGUAAAGAGGCAGGUCUUGACGUUACCUAAUCAGAAAGCCACGGCUAACUACGU
Molecule: ribosomal RNA, 496 nt
Filed under: uncultured bacterium
Lineage: Bacteria
Description: partial 16S ribosomal RNA
Rfam family: Bacterial small subunit ribosomal RNA
Source: RNAcentral